Molecule: ribosomal RNA, 768 nt
Filed under: Triticum aestivum (bread wheat)
Lineage: Eukaryota; Viridiplantae; Streptophyta; Magnoliopsida; Poales; Poaceae
Description: partial small subunit ribosomal RNA
Source: RNAcentral
UUAGGCCUGGCUAUAGUAGAACGAGCUCGGAAAAGGCAGGUGUCCCGUAUUACCUACCUGCGGGCUGGGGAUGUGCCAACUGCUUUCUUCCAGACAAAAAUCAACUCCAGAGCGUGCAAAAACUUCAUCCACACGCUGCAGGGGUCUGCUGGUAUAGUUACUGGCCAGGAGGACAAGGAGACACUGAUCCACGAUCACUUCCACUCCUUGUUGGCCUCGACGGUGCUGCGGAGUGCCACCAUAAACUGGGCAACACUCCAACUGCCACAAAUCCAAGGUGGCGGCCUAUACAAUCCCUUCACGGAGGAAGAUGUUUGGCAAGCGAUCAAAUCCUCCCCGGCCGAGCGAUCGCCGGGACCGGACGGCUUCUCAGGGAUCUUCUAUAGAACAUGCUGGCCGAUCAUCAAAAGUGACAUCAUGGCGGCCUUCUCCCAAUUCUACAAUCUCGCUGGCAGAAAUUUUGCGAUGCUGAACACAACUUUAGUUACUCUUCUACCAAAAAAAGAUGGGGCUUCCUCUAUUAGUGACUACAGGCCAAUUAGCUUAAUCCACUCUGUCGCCAAGCUCAUCUCCAAGGUCCUUUCGAUGAGGCUGGCCACGGUCAUGCACACGCUCAUCUCUCCAGCUCAGUCGGCCUUCCUGCGUACAAAAUGCAUCCACGGUAGUUUUAUGUAUGUCCAAAAUUGUGUCAAAACACUCCACAGAAAGAAAAUGCCAGCUUUGCUACUCAAGCUAGACAUCGCCAAAGCUUUCGACAAUGUUUCCUGA